Molecule: long non-coding RNA, 686 nt
Organism: Vespa velutina
Lineage: Eukaryota; Metazoa; Arthropoda; Insecta; Hymenoptera; Vespidae
Exons: 3
Source: RefSeq, a predicted model, not a curated record
UCUGUUUCCUACGCCGUCUCUCGUUUAUUUUUCCAAUAUGGACGACUAAAACACCGAAGACGAAGACGACGGCGAAGACGACGACGAGGACUCACGGGCGGAUGGAUAAUCUUCGCGGCAGUAGGGAGGAUACCCUCCGUCUCGGAGUGCACCACGAAAUAGUCUCUUGAAAGAUAUAAAGAGAGCAAUAUCACCGAGAGUCGGUAAAAAAGUAAUCUACCUGGAAAGAUGAUAUUGCUGUCAUCGAUAAAGAAGUUUUCUCCCUUUAUCAUGAGAAAAAAGAGAGAAGAGGAUUAAUACGAAGUAGUGAUUAAUGAUACUCAUGGAAAGAAAGGACAAAAAACAAAAAAAAGAUGGGUCAAUUAGGCAAUAUACGUCAUGUGCUGCCGUUAAACGUUUUAUGCAUAGAAGAAGGGAAUCUAUUUGAACGCUAUCGCGUGCCUACCCUUUUGGGGAGUACUCACAGCUCUGCCCCCACUCCCUCUUCAUUCCUUACUCUACCUACACCACAGUUUGCUUACAGGCAAAUAGGAUCGUAUUUCGACGUUAAACAUCCUGUGAUUGAUCAUAUUAAUAUACGACCGUAUAAUGGACGGUCAUCGAUUUACAAAGAAGAAAUAAUCUGGAAUGUGUUUAACGUAUGCGUAUCUCCGUAUGUGGUUCAAAGAUGAAGAUGUAUUAUUAGA